Molecule: long non-coding RNA, 2397 nt
Organism: Sphaerodactylus townsendi
Lineage: Eukaryota; Metazoa; Chordata; Lepidosauria; Squamata; Sphaerodactylidae
Exons: 8
Source: RefSeq, a predicted model, not a curated record
CAGGCCAUUGCUUCAGAAAACUGAUGCCUGCAUCUGGUUGACCACUUAUGCCUUUCCAUACCAGCAGAUAAAGUGUUUUCCAGUACUGGAGUUCAUACCUGGAGGCUGAUUCUACUGUGAGGAAGAAGUAACAGAACACCUGCAACUAGCCCAUGCAUGGUUUUGCGGGCUCUGCAUCAGAGCGCUGUCUUCUAUUCUGAGAGCUGCAGGUGUUUCACUGGCGAUACAAAAGUUAACAAGGAAAGAGGUGUUGGCCAACAGCCAGGAGGAUACGAUUGCCCAGAAGAGAAAGAUGAGAAACCCCAAGCGUCGUCCCACGCUGAGUUUUUGUACCUUUGUGACUCCCAAAGUGAAUGCAUAGAUGGACCGAUGAGAUUUUCACCCAAAGAAGAUGUGCAUGAAGGACGCACCAGACUGAGAGUUCAAGGGAUUACAUGGACCAACAGAACACACUUUCAGUUGGAUGGAUUUAAAGGACAGAGCUUAAGAAGACAGAAUGGGAAAUGAAAGCGCAGAAGCAGGCACAUAGAAGACGCCUCCCCCGCAGUAUCCUUUACGUAACUAUGGUGGCUAACAAAUUCGGACAUUUUAGUUUCUCUUAUCCUUUGACUGGCAUCUCUGAGCGAUUCAAGGCAAAUAUCAGGAUCUUGAGCAUAAGAACUCCUGUUCCUUAAAAACAUCUUUGGAGGUGUCGUUCCACUUCCAUCCCAGAGGUGGUCUUCAAUGCAAAAUUGAAAUUGUUAUUUAUUUAUUUUCCCCUCCCGUUCGCAGCUGCGUGUUUUUUAAGUAGUUGCGAAAGGAACAAUGAAAUGAAAGGCAAAACCGGCAUUUUGAGAACUUGGCAAGAGAAAGAAGGUUGGACUGGCAGCCAAGAAUCCUGCUGGGGCACAGGGAGAAUAGCAUCUGCAAGAGCACCUCAAGUGAGGAUUUCGUCUUCCUUUUCAAAACAAAAAAACCCCCCAAAAUCAAUCUCGGCAGCUGAAGCAAUUAUUCUGACACCAGUGUUGAGAGUCACAAAAUUACAAUGGAAGCUUGAUGAGUCCAUGCGGAAACAGACUUCCUGGAGAACGUGGCAACAUUACAAGCAUGGACCUUUUGCAGUGGGCACAAGAUCAGCCAUUCCAUACCUUUCAGCUCUCGGUCGUUGGAAGAAAGAAGAUGAAGCAGAAGGAAGGCAAAGGACGGGGAUCUGGAUGGAUCUACCCAGAUCUUCACUCACGCCCCAAAAGGAGAAGAGCUGAAAAACAUUCUCUGGAGCUGGAGGACUUCGACGUUCAGGAUGGAUUUAUUUUUUGUCAAAGAUAUAAACAGCAUUUUGAGAGAUUCUAGUUAAGCUGUAUUUUCUCAUAAAUGUAAAGGGGGAAAAACCCAGCCUGCCACUUCAAAAACAAAAGGUUACUCUUAAACUUGCUUUUAGCGGGUAAGAAUAGAACAUUUAUCUAAUGUUUCUGUAGCAUUGUCAGUGUAGGCUUGAGAUUUUUAAAGUCCUUUCCCCAGAGGAAUGUGCUUUCUUGGACUGAAUUUUCUGAAUCCUUGGUUUUGUGUACUUCAUUGUUUUGAGGACUUCAUGUAUGAAAUUUGCCCAUAUGCAGAACCUUUAAAAAUGACUUGUGGAAGGGGGAGGGUUUUGUUUCCAAGUUGAUUUUGGAUUAAGCCCUAGUAUUUGUUUCAACAUUGGAGCCCAAAUUUGAUGGCCCUUCUUGAACCUGUCCAUUUUGAUAAUUUCUAAUAAGACGACUUCAUGUGCUGUUGAAUAAUAAUUGUUCUUUUAAAGUAAAAACAAAAAAGUAAAGUUUAAAAAGUAAGGAAAGGCUUUUAAAGCUUCAGAAGUAUAUGUUCAACAAUUCAGAGAAGAAGGACCAAGAAAGAGAAUACUUUGGCUGAUUAUGCACAAGGUGUCUGCCAAGCUGCAGGAACUUGAGGCAAGAUUUCUUGUAUGGACAUAUUUCCUCAAGCCCCGCUUUCACUUUCCAUUCUCUGCACAGCAAGCAAACAUUCUCCUGCACUUCUAGCAUGAUUUUAAUUUGCUUCGCCACCAGAGCAGGGUAGAUUUGUCAGGAAGCCCAGCUUUGCUCCAGAUACUUCCUUCUGCUCAUGACCAGCCUACCUAGCUUCACCCUUCCCACUCCCAUGCACUGCCAUCCACAUCUUCCCCCUCGUGCCCCUCUUCCAUUUUGCCAGCUCCUUCCUGCUUCCUACUCAUCCUUCCAGCAUCUUUGGGUAGCCAGCAAGUGGAAGGCCCUCUGCAUGGGCCAAUGAAUAUGGGGUGCAGCCGGGGCACAUGAGCCUGGUGCAAUCCUGGAUCAUUCACAUGGCUCUGUGCGGGCAGCCCCAGAGCAAAUGCAGGCCAUCAAUGCACCUUCACAUAGAGGCACAUUGCUUUUUUUUUGUUCCUAC